Molecule: long non-coding RNA, 412 nt
Filed under: Physcomitrium patens
Lineage: Eukaryota; Viridiplantae; Streptophyta; Bryopsida; Funariales; Funariaceae
Description: long non-coding RNA (PPAT_LNC000267)
Source: RNAcentral
GAGAUUGUUUUAGAAUCUAGGAUUUGCUUAGGAUUUUCUUAGGAUUUGGUCUAAGAUUUGAUUAGGAUUUUAUUAAGAUUUAAUUAGAAUUUAUUUAGGAUUUGAUUAAGAUUUAUUUAGAAUUUGAUUAAGAUUAAUUUAGGAUUUGAUUAGAAUUUGAUUCAAGAUUAAGAUUAAAGAUUUGAUUUGGAUUUUAUUAGAAUUUGUGUAGGAUUUCAUUGAAAUUUGUUUGAAAUUUAAUUAGGAUUGAUUUGGAUUUAUGAUUUCAUUAGGAUUGGUCUAAGAUAAAGAUUUAGGAUUUUAUUAAGAUUGGUCUAAAAUUAGGAUUUAGUAUUUUAUUAAGAUUUGGUUUAAAGUUUGAUUAGGAUUUAUUUAGGAUUUUAUUAAGGAUUUUUUAGGGAUAUAUUAUAAU